This is a non-coding RNA of Dentipellis sp. KUC8613, 99 nucleotides long. The record is from the annotation of a GenBank genome assembly. Lineage: Eukaryota; Fungi; Basidiomycota; Agaricomycetes; Russulales; Hericiaceae.
CCUUCGAUAGCUCAGUUGGAAGAGCGUGAGACUGUAAUGGCUAACGUACACAAUACACAUUGUAUCUCAAGGUCACUGGUUCGACCCCGGUUCGAAGGA